Molecule: long non-coding RNA, 320 nt
Organism: Corticium candelabrum
Lineage: Eukaryota; Metazoa; Porifera; Homoscleromorpha; Homosclerophorida; Plakinidae
Exons: 4
Source: RefSeq, a predicted model, not a curated record
CGGGCAAUCUGACAGCCGCUCACAUUGAGACGAGAAGAGAAGCAUUAGAGAGAUACUUACAGAAGCUUGUUAAUAGUGAUCAUCACAUUGCAGCAUCUCAUGAACUCUCAGUGUUUCUUGAUGUCUACGAACAUGAUGUAUGUGCUGUGAUGAAGAAACUUGCACACUAUUUCUAUCUCUACGGUGACGAGCUGCUGGAGAAGAAGAUUGGAUUUUGUGCAACACCAGACCAACUCUAUUGUAUGUCCAAACAACUGAAAUUACCCGUCUACAAGUCAGGUCAGCCUUGUGUGAUGUGAUGCUGAUCUACUGUAUUGUUG